GAUCAUAAAUAGAGCUAAUAGUCGAAAAAUACACGAACUUUCACCGAAUUUACACAUUGCACAUGACCUUCAAAAAUAGCCUCUGAAUACACCACCUUUUAAUUUAAUUGCAAAUUGCACACGGCGAAAAUUUCGAUUACUUUUAAGUUUGACCGGCGAUGAGGUGGACAAUAUUUCACAUAUAUAGCAUUACACGUGGAUUUUUUUACACGUGUGGCUCUACAAUACACACUUUUUUUGACAUGGCAUUACUCUUAAUAUUAAAAAAAAACAAAAAACACAAAAUUGAAAAUAAAAAAUUGAAGAAGCCGGAAACCCAAAACCCCUUUUUCCAAAAUCUCGCUCCAGCCUCUCACCUCCGCGACAGAUCCGCCUUUGCGGCCCUAACCUCCGGCGCCGCCUCUGACCUCCGACCAUUUAUUCUCUCGCUCAAACUCAGGUGGAAAUCUUCUUCUAAAUCGAGCCCUAGGUCUCUCUCG
RNAcentral lists this long non-coding RNA (479 nucleotides) under Salvia miltiorrhiza (redroot sage). Its description in RNAcentral is "long non-coding RNA (SMIL_LNC004251)". The record is from RNAcentral. Lineage: Eukaryota; Viridiplantae; Streptophyta; Magnoliopsida; Lamiales; Lamiaceae.